GACGAACGCUGGCGGCGUGCCUAAUACAUGCAAGUCGAACGCUGAAGGAGGAGCUUGCUUCUCUGGAUGAGUUGCGAACGGGUGAGUAACGCGUAGGUAACCUGCCUGGUAGCGGGGGAUAACUAUUGGAAACGAUAGCUAAUACCGCAUAAUAGUAGAUGUUGCAUGACAUUUGCCUAAAAGGUGCAAUUGCAUCACUACCAGAUGGACCUGCGUUGUAUUAGCUAGUUGGUGGGGUAACGGCUCACCAAGGCGACGAUACAUAGCCGACCUGAGAGGGUGAUCGGCCACACUGGGACUGAGACACGGCCCAGACUCCUACGGGAGGCAGCAGUAGGGAAUCUUCGGCAAUGGACGGAAGUCUGACCGAGCAACGCCGCGGGAGUGAAGAAGGGUUUCGGAUCGUAAAGCUCUGUUGUAAGAGAAGAACGAGUGUGAGAGUGGAAAGUUCACACUGUGACGGUAUCUUACCAGAAAGGGACGGCUAACUACGUG
This 495-nucleotide ribosomal RNA is filed under the name uncultured bacterium. RNAcentral's name for it is "partial 16S ribosomal RNA". It matches the Rfam family "Bacterial small subunit ribosomal RNA", at positions 28 to 507 of the family's 1533-position model. The record is from RNAcentral.